UCCUACGGGAGGCAGCAGUGGGGAAUUUUCCGCAAUGGGCGAAAGCCUGACGGAGCAACGCCGCGUGAGGGAUGAAGGCCUCUGGGCUGUAAACCUCUUUUAUCAAGGAAGAAGAUCUGACGGUACUUGAUGAAUAAGCCACGGCUAAUUCCGUGCCAGCAGCCGCGGUAAUACGGGAGUGGCAAGCGUUAUCCGGAAUUAUUGGGCGUAAAGCGUCCGCAGGCGGCCCUACAAGUCUGCUGUUAAAAAGUGGAGCUUAACUCCAUCAUGGCAGUGGAAACUGUUGGGCUUGAGUGUGGUAGGGGCAGAGGGAAUUCCCGGUGUAGCGGUGAAAUGCGUAGAUAUCGGGAAGAACACCAGUGGCGAAGGCGCUCUGCUGGGCCAUCACUGACGCUCAUGGACGAAAGCCAGGGGAGCGAAAGGGAUUAGAUACCCCUGUAGUCCUGGCCGUAAACGAUGAACACUAGGUGUCGGGGGAAUCGACCCCUCCGGUGUCGUAGCCAACGCGUUAAGUGUUCCGCCUGGGGAGUACGCACGCAAGUGUGAAACUCAAAGGAAUUGACGG
This 565-nucleotide ribosomal RNA is filed under the name uncultured bacterium. RNAcentral describes it as "bacterial SSU rRNA". It matches the Rfam family "Bacterial small subunit ribosomal RNA", at positions 337 to 916 of the family's 1533-position model. The record is from RNAcentral.